AAGUCGUAACAAGGUUUCCGUAGGUGAACCUGCGGAAGGAUCAUUUUAGAAUGUUGAUAUAAGAUUGAAUGAAAGGUGAUCCAUUUCUUUGAAAUGGUGAACCUUUCUAUUCAAUCUUGUAUCACUCAAAUACCAACCCCAAACAGUUGAAAAAAAUCGUUUCUUCUUCAAUUUCUUUGGAGACGAGAAAAAUAACAUGAUGAGCGAGUGAUUUGUGGGCAAGAAUGAAUUUUUCAUUUUUACUUGCAAGUCUCCUCUUGUCAUGGAUUUUUUUUUCUCGUCUUCAAGGAAAUUGAAGAGAAACAAACUUAUAAACUCUUUACAACAAUCUUCGGACUGAACCAAAACCAAAAUUAAAAUACACUUUUAACAACGGAUCUCUUGGCUCUC
Molecule: unclassified non-coding RNA, 390 nt
Filed under: fungal sp.
Lineage: Eukaryota; Fungi
Description: partial internal transcribed spacer region
Rfam family: Eukaryotic small subunit ribosomal RNA (bases 1-46)
Source: RNAcentral